AGAGUUUGAUCAUGGCUCAGGACGAACGCUGGCGGCACGCUUCACACAUGCAAGUCGAACGAGAAGCCCGGGCUUGCCCGGGUGGAAAGUGGCGAACGGGUGAGUAACACGUGAGCAACCUGCCCCGAAGACCGGGAUAACACCGGGAAACCGGUGCUAAUACCGGAUGUCCUCACCGGACCGCAUGAUCCGGCGAGGAAAUGGUCCUCCGCUUCGGGAUGGGCUCGCGGCCUAUCAGCUUGUUGGUGGGGUAACGGCCCACCAAGGCGACGACGGGUAGCUGGUCUGAGAGGAUGUCCAGCCACACUGGGACUGAGACACGGCCCAGACUCCUACGGGAGGCAGCAGUGGGGAAUCUUGCGCAAUGGGCGAAAGCCUGACGCAGCGAUGCCGCGUGCGGGAUGAAGGCCUUCGGGUUGUAAACCGCUUUCAGCAGGGACGAAAUUGACGGUACCUGCAGAAGGAGCCCCGGCCAACUACGUGCCAGCAGCCGCGGUAAUACGUAGGGGGCAAGCGUUGUCCGGAUUUAUUGGGCGUAAAGAGCUCGUAGGCGGUUGGGCAAGUCACGUGUGAAAUCUCCACGCUCAACGUGGAGGCGCCACGUGAGACUGCCCUGACUCGAGUCCGGUAGGGGAGCGUGGAAUUCCCGGUGUAGCGGUGAAAUGCGCAGAGAUCGGGAGGAACACCCGUAGCGAAGGCGGCGCUCUGGGCCGGUACUGACGCUGAGGAGCGAAAGCGUGGGGAGCAAACAGGAUUAGAUACCCUAGUAGUCC
Molecule: ribosomal RNA, 773 nt
Filed under: uncultured bacterium
Lineage: Bacteria
Description: bacterial SSU rRNA
Rfam family: Bacterial small subunit ribosomal RNA
Source: RNAcentral